GUAUAUUUAUAGAGUAUGAGUAUAUUUUACCUUAGAAUUAUUGAUAAAGGUUUGCAUGCUUUUAUUUACUACAUUAUGUAAGCUAAAAAAACAACCUUUUAAAACUUGCGCUUGGGCUAUGUUGUAAAACAUACAGCUUCUUCACAAAAAGUAUUAGUGUUACUCAUAUAAGAUUUAUUUAUACCUAAUACUUAUUAGGUAUGUGUGUAAAACUAUUUUUUUACUAGGAUUUCUGAUGCACUGGUUAGAAACACAGCAGCCAAUAAUUCAGUUAAUUUACCAAGUGAUUUACCCUUCAAAGCUACAGGGGUAGCUUUCCUGAAGAGUGCAAAAACUUCUUUAGCUUUCAAAAUGGUAUAUAGUACAAACAGUGAAGCUAAUAUAGACACAUCUGAUCAUUCAUCAUCAACAAUAACUGCAUCUGAGAAUUAUAGUUCUACAGUAACCGUGGAGUCUAGGUCAACAAUUACUAUUUCUCAUCCAAGCCGUUUUUGUUUAACUGCUACACAUUCCCUGACUCUGCCAAGGAAAAGGGUAAAAUCAAAAUGAUAUCCUGAGGACCUAAGCACUGAUGAUUCCACCGUUUCAAGAGCUUAAUCACUUGUCACCAGAUUAUGGAAAAAAAAUAUAGAACAAAAAAUUAAAAUUCGAAGAUUGCAACAAGCAAAUUUGCG
Molecule: long non-coding RNA, 674 nt
Organism: Anthonomus grandis grandis
Lineage: Eukaryota; Metazoa; Arthropoda; Insecta; Coleoptera; Curculionidae
Exons: 3
Source: RefSeq, a predicted model, not a curated record